RNAcentral lists this long non-coding RNA (150 nucleotides) under Coturnix japonica (Japanese quail). Its description in RNAcentral is "lncRNA (ENSCJPG00005001513.1)". The record is from RNAcentral. Lineage: Eukaryota; Metazoa; Chordata; Aves; Galliformes; Phasianidae.
GGUUCUAUGGGGUAAUAGGGUUCUUAAUGGGGGUCAAUUGGUUCUUAGUGGGGUAAAAUAGGGUUCUAUGGGGGUAAUUGGGGUUCUAUGGGGGGUAAUAAGGGUCUAUGGGGGGGGUAAUUGGGUUCUAUGGGGGGUAAUAGGGUUCUA